This 1442-nucleotide ribosomal RNA is filed under the name Listeria monocytogenes. Its description in RNAcentral is "partial 23S ribosomal RNA". It matches the Rfam family "Bacterial large subunit ribosomal RNA", at positions 426 to 1866 of the family's 2925-position model. The record is from RNAcentral. Lineage: Bacteria; Bacillati; Bacillota; Bacilli; Caryophanales; Listeriaceae.
GUGAAAUUCCGUCGGAAUCCGGGAGGACCAUCUCCCAAGGCUAAAUACUCCCUAGUGACCGAUAGUGAACCAGUACCGUGAGGGAAAGGUGAAAAGCACCCCGGAAGGGGAGUGAAACAGUUCCUGAAACCGUGUGCCUACAAGUAGUUAGAGCCCGUUAAUGGGUGAUAGCGUGCCUUUUGUAGAAUGAACCGGCGAGUUACGAUUUGUUGCAAGGUUAAGCGGAAAAAGCGGAGCCGUAGCGAAAGCGAGUCUGAAUAGGGCGCAUAAGUAACAGGUCGUAGACCCGAAACCAGGUGAUCUACCCAUGUCCAGGAUGAAGGUAAGGUAAUACUUACUGGAGGUCCGAACCCACGCACGUUGAAAAGUGCGGGGAUGAGGUGUGGGUAGCGGAGAAAUUCCAAUCGAACUUGGAGAUAGCUGGUUCUCUCCGAAAUAGCUUUAGGGCUAGCCUCGAGGUAAAGAGUCAUGGAGGUAGAGCACUGUUUGGACUAGGGGCCCUUCUCGGGUUACCGAAUUCAGAUAAACUCCGAAUGCCAUGUACUUAUACUCGGGAGUCAGACUGCGAGUGAUAAGAUCCGUAGUCGAAAGGGAAACAGCCCAGACCACCAGUUAAGGUCCCCAAAUAUAUGUUAAGUGGAAAAGGAUGUGGGGUUGCUUAGACAACCAGGAUGUUGGCUUAGAAGCAGCCACCAUUGAAAGAGUGCGUAAUAGCUCACUGGUCGAGUGACCCCGCGCCGAAAAUGUACCGGGGCUAAACAUAUUACCGAAACUGUGGAUGAACCUCUUUAGAGGUUCGUGGUAGGAGAGCGUUCUAAGGGCGGUGAAGUCAGACCGGAAGGACUGGUGGAGCGCUUAGAAGUGAGAAUGCCGGUAUGAGUAGCGAAAGAAGGGUGAGAAUCCCUUCCACCGAAUAUCUAAGGUUUCCUGAGGAAGGCUCGUCCGCUCAGGGUUAGUCGGGACCUAAGCCGAGGCCGAUAGGCGUAGGCGAUGGACAACAGGUAGAGAUUCCUGUACCAGUGCUAAUUGUUUAACCGAUGGGGUGACACAGAAGGAUAGGGAAUCGCACGAAUGGAAAUGUGCGUCCAAGCAGUGAGUGUGAGAAGUAGGCAAAUCCGCUUCUCGCGAAGCAUGAGCUGUGAUGGGGAAGGAAAUUAAGUACGGAAGUUCCUGAUUUCACGCUGUCAAGAAAAGCCUCUAGGAAGAGUAGUACUGCCCGUACCGCAAACCGACACAGGUAGAUGAGGAGAGAAUCCUAAGGUGAGCGAGAGAACUCUCGUUAAGGAACUCGGCAAAAUGACCCCGUAACUUCGGGAGAAGGGGUGCUCUAUUAGGGUGCAAGCCCGAGAGAGCCGCAGUGAAUAGGCCCAGGCGACUGUUUAGCAAAAACACAGGUCUCUGCAAAACCGUAAGGUGACGUAUAGGGGCUGACGCCUGCCCGG